GCUUUCUUUUGGCCGUUGGCUGGGUCUUCCAAGCUUCCGGGACAGCGUCAAGGAGGCGUGGCCGCUGUCUUGAGGACAAGUCCUCGAUGUGCCCUCUGACGCUGGCACGAGCGUGUUCUGGACCCGUGCCGUGCCCCCAGGCAGCUGGGGAGUUGUCUGCCGUGUAGUCCGGCGGCCACCAGGAGAAUCUGACCCAGUGUCCUGGAUGGGCCAGUUCCCAGUCGUGCGCUCGUGGCCCAGACCAGACCCGGGCUGGUGUGUGGAGCCAGCCACGCGGGCCCGUCUGUCCUCCGUGCCCUGAGUGGGCGCAGAUGAGAGAGGGCGCGGUUGCUCCGUCCGCUUUUCUCCCCUCUCGCCCCCGUGCGGGGAGCCGUCCAGCGGGGCCUGGCUGGACUGAGCCCGUGCCGGACACGGUGCUCAGUUGCCGUCCUGGAGGGCCCAGAGGAUUGCUCGAGGUGUGCCCACCAGGCCCCUCCCCUGAGACAGGGGGCUGGCUGGGUGCCGUCAGGCUCUUUCUUGGCUCCCCCUGGAACCCGGAGGUGGCCCUUGCCUGGUUCCUGGAUCCUUUCACUUCCCCUUCCUCGUCGCCUUGCCGUGUGGAAGGGAAGGGCCGCUCUUAGCCCGCCAGCCCUGGCCAAGGAGGGGAACCCACUUGGAGGGUGGGGUGGCACCAAGGCCUUGCGCGGCCCAACGCACAAGGGGGGAUGGCGGGCCCUCGCCCUGGCCCCGGUGCCACCAGUUUCCCUUGGUCGGGAUUCUUUGUGGCCUAGGCAGGCAGGCGCCCAUGCUGUCUCCGCACUGACCUAGGCACCCACCCACAUGAGGCGUCGGGAGGUGUGGGGCCGGGAGAACAUUUCUCUGCCUGGUUUCCUAGGCGGAGGCAGGUGUGUUGUCGGCAAAGACCCUCACUCAGGCCAAGUGUGUGAUGUCUCUUCUUCUUCCGCAGACGCCGAGCCCGGCACCCGGGAACCUGUUCCGGACGUGCCGCUCCCAACCAUGACUCCCAGCACCGAGGCUGACCACGACCACGACCACGACCACGACCACGACCACGACGCCGAGCCCGGCACCCGGGAACCUGUUCCGGACGUGCCGCUCCCAACCAUGACUCCCAGCACCGAGGCUGACCACGACCACGACCACGACCACGACCACGACCACGACCACGACCACGACGCCGAGCCCGGCACCCGGGAACCUGUUCCGGACGUGCCGCUCCCAACCAUGACUCCCAGCACCGAGGAGGCUGACCACGACCACGACCACGACCACGACCCCGACCCCGAGCACGACCACGACCACGACCACGACCACGACCACGACCACGGUAGGGGCCCGUGUGCCUUGUGUCCUCUGCCCCUGGGAGCCCGCUGGGUUGCCGGGGCUCCUUGAGCGAGAACGGGCUUUCCUAUUGCCUCCGGGACCGGGAAGGUGUCGCCAUGCGAUUCCUUGUCCCGAAACGCUGGCCUGUGCUCUGGAGCUGCGGGGACGUCCUCGGGGCUCUGCCCGGGAAGGAUGUGCUCUCUGGGGAGAGAGGGGCCGCGGUGCGAGUCAGGCGCUCCGAGACGGGGCCGUGUGUCCUCCCGGGUGCUCUGGUUGGCUGCACGCUGCCUGGGCCUGUCCGCAGGUUGUCCGUUUCUCUGCGUGGUGGUCUGCUGACCCGUGCGGGAGGGGCGUAGGCUUCUCGCCCUCCACGUCUGCUCCCGCCAUGACCACCCGGGGGUCUGGUGCAGCACUCCCAGCCGCAUGCCUGG
This 1754-nucleotide long non-coding RNA is filed under the name Oryctolagus cuniculus (rabbit). RNAcentral describes it as "lncRNA (ENSOCUG00000031133.1)". The record is from RNAcentral. Lineage: Eukaryota; Metazoa; Chordata; Mammalia; Lagomorpha; Leporidae.